CCCUUAGAUGUCCUGGGCCGCACGCGCGUUACACUGAUGCAUUCAACGAGCUUAUAACCUUGGCCGAGAGGCCUGGGCAAUCUUGUUAACGUGCAUCGUGAUAGGGAUAGAUUAUUGAAAUUAUUAAUCUUGAACGAGGAAUUCCUAGUAAACGCAGAUCAUCAAUCUGCAUUGAUUACGUCCCUGCCCUUUGUACACACCGCCCGUCGCACCUACCGAUUGGAUGGUCCGGUGAAGCCUCGGGAAUGUGGUUCUUGCCGCUUUAUUGUGGCGUGACCGCGAGAACUUGUCUAAACCUUAUCAUCUAGAGGAAGGUGAAGUCGUAACA
Molecule: ribosomal RNA, 328 nt
Filed under: uncultured eukaryote
Lineage: Eukaryota
Description: partial 18S ribosomal RNA
Rfam family: Eukaryotic small subunit ribosomal RNA
Source: RNAcentral